RNAcentral lists this long non-coding RNA (1800 nucleotides) under Canis lupus familiaris (dog). RNAcentral describes it as "lncRNA (ENSCAFG00040007047.1)". The record is from RNAcentral. Lineage: Eukaryota; Metazoa; Chordata; Mammalia; Carnivora; Canidae.
UGUUUGAAAGAUCACAGGAAGGAGGCUGAAAGCCAGAUCCAGAAAGGUCUUGGGGGCCGGGGACUGAGGGUCUCAUGUGCUGAGACUCCGCUUCCUCCUGUGAGCAGCUGGGCGCUAUGGAACUUUCUAUCACUGAAGUGUCGGGAGAGGGAUCUGGAGGUCGCACGGGUCACGCCAAGCCCUGACAGCGCCACGGGGCUGCAUCCCACACGCACGCUCCUUCGCUCCGGCCCCCCUGCACACCCGGGAUCCGAGCCCCGGGCGGCUCCUCGGUGCACCUGCGUGCGCCUCCGCAGCUUCCCCCCCCAGGGGCGCUCGAGCCCCUCCCCUGGCCCGGCCGCCUUGCCCGGCCCUCGGCCCUCGGCCCUCGGCCCUCGCGGGGCAAGAGGCAGCUGCAAACAGCGCGGCCUGGAGCCUCGGCCCCAGAGCCCCCGCCCCCCCACCUGGGCAGGGUCCUCCCCUGCCUCCCGCCGCUGCCUGGGGGCUCUGGGGCCCCGCACCCAGUCACUCCGCCCCACGCCCCCCCAGCGCCCCCCGGAGCGCGAAGGGCUGUCACCGCUCCGCAGGUCCUCGCAGGCUUCCGCCGCCUCCGGAGGUCCCAGCCGCGGGCUCGCCCCGGCCCCGGGGUCCCCCAUAGCUCGGCUGCUGCCGACUCCCGCCCCGGCCCCUCUGCCCCUCGUCCUGGGGGCAGCCCUGGCGGCACCGCGCGGCGGGCAGUACCUGGGGUCGCCCCCGGCCCGGCAGCCCGAGGUGCGUCACCCAUCCCACACCCGAGCCCCCACCCCAGCCGGGCGGGCCUCCUGGAGGAGGAGUCGGCGCUCCUGCCCGGUUCUCAGCACCGCGGAGACAAGGACAGCGAAACGACAAGGCCCAGCCCCAGCCUGCGUCUCCCCGGGGGGGGGGGGGGGGGGGGGGGGAGGAGCUGAGACACCCCCACCCCACCCCCACCCCCACCCCCACCCCGCAGAGCUCGCGGAGCCGGGUACUGGGUACUGGCGCGGGCCGGGCCCCACUGAGGGCUCUGCCCUGGAGGCUGAGCCUGUGUCUGGCUGGACUCAGGCAGGAGAGGCCCUCACCUGCACGCACCUGCACACACCUGCACGCACCGCACGCACCCGUACACACCCGCACGCACCCGCACGCACCUGCACGCACCCGUACACACCCCACGCACCUGCACGCACCCGCACACACCUGUACACACCCGCACGCACCCGCACGCACCUGCACGCACCUGCACGCACCCGUACACACCCGCACGUACCUGCACCCACCCAUACACACCCCACGCACCUGCACACACCCGUACACACCCGCAUGCACCCGCACGCACCUGCACGCACCCGCAUACAUCCGCACACACCUGUACGCACCUGCACACACCCGUACACACCCGCAUGCACCCGCACGCACCUGCACGCACCCGCAUACAUCCGCACACACCUGUACGCACCUGCACACACCCGUACACACCCGCAUGCACCUGCACACACCUGUACACACCCGCACGCACCCGUACACACCCGCACGCACCUGCACGCACCCGUACACACCCCACGCACCUGCACACACCCGCACGCACCCGCACGCACCUGCACGCACCCGCAUACACCCGCACACACCUGUACGCACCUGCACACACCCGUACACACCCGUACGCACCCGCACGCACCCGCACGCACCUGCACUAUCACAGAGCCUCUGGCCGGCGCCGCCCCUCGGGGCUGGCUGCAGCCUCACGGUCCUGGGGGGACCGGCUCCCGGGCCCCGGGCCCCGCUCCUCCACGCCUCUGGCGGUGA